RNAcentral lists this ribosomal RNA (1372 nucleotides) under uncultured bacterium. RNAcentral's name for it is "bacterial SSU rRNA". It matches the Rfam family "Bacterial small subunit ribosomal RNA", at positions 28 to 1381 of the family's 1533-position model. The record is from RNAcentral.
GAUGAACGCUGGCGGCGUGCCUAAUACAUGCAAGUCGAGCGAACGGACGAGAAGCUUGCUUCUCUGAUGUUAGCGGCGGACGGGUGAGUAACACGUGGAUAACCUACCUAUAAGACUGGGAUAACUUCGGGAAACCGGAGCUAAUACCGGAUAAUAUUUUGAACCGCAUGGUUCAAAAGUGAAAGACGGUCUUGCUGUCACUUAUAGAUGGAUCCGCGCUGCAUUAGCUAGUUGGUAAGGUAACGGCUUACCAAGGCAACGAUGCAUAGCCGACCUGAGAGGGUGAUCGGCCACACUGGAACUGAGACACGGUCCAGACUCCUACGGGAGGCAGCAGUAGGGAAUCUUCCGCAAUGGGCGAAAGCCUGACGGAGCAACGCCGCGUGAGUGAUGAAGGUCUUCGGAUCGUAAAACUCUGUUAUUAGGGAAGAACAUAUGUGUAAGUAACUGUGCACAUCUUGACGGUACCUAAUCAGAAAGCCACGGCUAACUACGUGCCAGCAGCCGCGGUAAUACGUAGGUGGCAAGCGUUAUCCGGAAUUAUUGGGCGUAAAGCGCGCGUAGGCGGUUUUUUAAGUCUGAUGUGAAAGCCCACGGCUCAACCGUGGAGGGUCAUUGGAAACUGGAAAACUUGAGUGCAGAAGAGGAAAGUGGAAUUCCAUGUGUAGCGGUGAAAUGCGCAGAGAUAUGGAGGAACACCAGUGGCGAAGGCGACUUUCUGGUCUGUAACUGACGCUGAUGUGCGAAAGCGUGGGGAUCAAACAGGAUUAGAUACCCUGGUAGUCCACGCCGUAAUCGAUGAGUGCUAAGUGUUAGGGGGUUUCCGCCCCUUAGUGCUGCAGCUAACGCAUUAAGCACUCCGCCUGGGGAGUACGACCGCAAGGUUGAAACUCAAAGGAAUUGACGGGGACCCGCACAAGCGGUGGAGCAUGUGGUUUAAUUCGAAGCAACGCGAAGAACCUUACCAAAUCUUGACAUCCUUUGACAACUCUAGAGAUAGAGCCUUCCCCUUCGGGGGACAAAGUGACAGGUGGUGCAUGGUUGUCGUCAGCUCGUGUCGUGAGAUGUUGGGUUAAGUCCCGCAACGAGCGCAACCCUUAAGCUUAGUUGCCAUCAUUAAGUUGGGCACUCUAAGUUGACUGCCGGUGACAAACCGGAGGAAGGUGGGGAUGACGUCAAAUCAUCAUGCCCCUUAUGAUUUGGGCUACACACGUGCUACAAUGGACAAUACAAAGGGCAGCGAAACCGCGAGGUCAAGCAAAUCCCAUAAAGUUGUUCUCAGUUCGGAUUGUAGUCUGCAACUCGACUACAUGAAGCUGGAAUCGCUAGUAAUCGUAGAUCAGCAUGCUACGGUGAAUACGAUCCCGGGUCU